GGAUCAAGCGAAUAAGUGCAUAUGAUGGAUGCCUUGGCGAUCACAGGCGAUGAAGGACGCGGUAGCCUGCGAAAAGCUACGGGGAGCUGGCAAACAAGCUUUGAUCCGUAGAUGUCCGAAUGGGGAAACCCACCGUAGUAAUACGGUAUCCCAUGCUCAAUACAUAGGCAUGUGGAGGCGAACCGAGUGAACUGAACCAUCUCAGUAACUCGAGGAAAAGAAAUCAACCGAGAUUCCGGAAGUAGUGGCGAGCGAAACCGGACCAGC
This 267-nucleotide ribosomal RNA is filed under the name Acinetobacter baumannii. RNAcentral describes it as "partial 23S ribosomal RNA". It matches the Rfam family "Bacterial large subunit ribosomal RNA", at positions 1 to 268 of the family's 2925-position model. The record is from RNAcentral. Lineage: Bacteria; Pseudomonadati; Pseudomonadota; Gammaproteobacteria; Moraxellales; Moraxellaceae.